AGGGAGACUCCCGAUUGUAGCCUUUUUCCCUCCCCUGUUUCAAACUCUCCUUCCCUCUCCCGAAUCCACCGGAAGGAAAGAUUUAGGGUGAUCAAAUCCUACUAUAUUUGGGCCAAUCCUCUUCCAAGACCACCUCCCUCUCUUCCUAGGGCACCAACCGAGAGAUCCUUUCAAAAGAAAAAAAAAAAAAAAGGGGAGAGAGAGAUUUGGAGUUCUAGGCGAUCCGUGAGAGGCUUGGGUUAUUCGCCGUCGGGCUUGCCGGAGAAGCUCACCGGAGACGAGGGAAACAAUCUGUUGGACGAGAGGACGCUGAGCAGGGUUCUGCGCAUCCUGGUUCAUAGAUCGCCGUGAAGACGGAUGUUUAGUCUGUCUGAGUUUUUCAACAGGAGUUGCAGGACGCAUACAUGGAUGGGUUGGGUGCAGAGCGCGAGUUUCAGAGUUAUUAGCUAGCUAGUUAGUUUAUCUUUCUUUGAUGAUGAUGAGCAUUUGAAGAUUUUGUAAUUGAACCAAUUUGAUUAUCUGGACAUGUUGGAUUUAUCUAUUUAAAUAAAUUAAU
Non-coding RNA from Phoenix dactylifera (date palm), 556 nucleotides. The record is from RefSeq and is a predicted model, not a curated record. NCBI's taxonomy places the organism in Eukaryota, Viridiplantae, Streptophyta, Magnoliopsida, Arecales, Arecaceae.